This 253-nucleotide ribosomal RNA is filed under the name uncultured bacterium. RNAcentral describes it as "partial 16S ribosomal RNA". It matches the Rfam family "Bacterial small subunit ribosomal RNA", at positions 524 to 776 of the family's 1533-position model. The record is from RNAcentral.
UACGUAGGGAGCAAGCGUUGUCCGGAAUCAUUGGGCGUAAAGAGCUCGUAGGCGGUUUGUCGCGUCUGCUGUGAAAACCUAAGGCUCAACCUUGGGCUUGCAGUGGGUACGGGCAGACUAGAGUGCGGUAGGGGUGACUGGAAUUCCUGGUGUAGCGGUGGAAUGCGCAGAUAUCAGGAGGAACACCGAUGGCGAAGGCAGGUCACUGGGCCGCAACUGACGCUGAGGAGCGAAAGCAUGGGGAGCGAACAGG